UUCCAGACUCCUACGGGAGGCAGCAGUGGGGAAUAUUGCACAAUGGGGGGAACCCUGAUGCAGCGACGCCGCGUGGGUGAAGAAGCGCCUCGGCGCGUAGAGCCCUGUCAGCAGGGAAGAAAAUGACGGUACCUGAAGAAGAAGCCCCGGCUAACUACGUGCCAGCAGCCGCGGUAAUACGUAGGGGGCAAGCGUUAUCCGGAUUUACUGGGUGUAAAGGGGGCGCAGACGGCGAUGCAAGCCAGGAGUGAAAGCCCGGGGCCCAACCCCGGGACUGCUCUUGGAACUGCGUGGCUGGAGUGCAGGAGGGGCAGGCGGAAUUCCUGGUGUAGCGGUGAAAUGCGUAGAUAUCAGGAGGAACACCGGUGGCGAAGGCGGCCUGCUGGACGGCAACUGACGUUGAGGCCCGAAAGCGUGGGGAGCAAACAGGAUUAGAUACCCCGGUACGU
RNAcentral lists this ribosomal RNA (449 nucleotides) under uncultured bacterium. Its description in RNAcentral is "bacterial SSU rRNA". It matches the Rfam family "Bacterial small subunit ribosomal RNA", at positions 329 to 794 of the family's 1533-position model. The record is from RNAcentral.